RNAcentral lists this transfer RNA (76 nucleotides) under Poriferisphaera corsica. Its description in RNAcentral is "Planctomycetes bacterium KS4 tRNA-Asp". It matches the Rfam family "tRNA". Rfam says of the family: Transfer RNA (tRNA) molecules are approximately 80 nucleotides in length. Their secondary structure includes four short double-helical elements and three loops (D, anti-codon, and T loops). Lineage: Bacteria; Pseudomonadati; Planctomycetota; Phycisphaerae; Phycisphaerales; Phycisphaeraceae. The record is from RNAcentral.
UGGGAGCGUAGCUCAAUUGGUUAGAGCACUGGACUGUCGAUCCAGAGGUUGCGGGUUCGAUCCCCGUCGCUCUCGU